ACAUCUUCAGUAUUUGUGUACAGGCGCCUUCCAAGCGCCAAGAUUCUAAGAAAAGAUGUA
RNAcentral lists this transfer RNA (60 nucleotides) under Sabella spallanzanii. Its description in RNAcentral is "tRNA-Gly". Lineage: Eukaryota; Metazoa; Annelida; Polychaeta; Sabellida; Sabellidae. The record is from RNAcentral.